ACGGGGGGAGCAAGCGUUGUUCGGAUUUACUGGGCGUAAAGGGCGGGUAGGCGGCCACUGCAAGUCGGUUGUGAAAUCUCCGGGCUUAACCCGGAAAGGUCAAUCGAUACUGCAGGGCUAGAGUGCAGAAGGGGCAACUGGAAUUCUCGGUGUAGCGGUGAAAUGCGUAGAUAUCGAGAGGAACACCAGUGGCGAAGGCGACUCGCUGGACUUGUGGUGACGCUGAGACGCGAAAGCGUGGGUAGCAAACAGGA
Molecule: ribosomal RNA, 254 nt
Filed under: uncultured prokaryote
Description: partial 16S ribosomal RNA
Rfam family: Bacterial small subunit ribosomal RNA
Source: RNAcentral